RNAcentral lists this ribosomal RNA (668 nucleotides) under Nitrososphaerota archaeon. Its description in RNAcentral is "Thaumarchaeota archaeon partial 23S ribosomal RNA". It matches the Rfam family "Bacterial large subunit ribosomal RNA", at positions 2259 to 2925 of the family's 2925-position model. Lineage: Archaea; Thermoproteati; Nitrososphaerota. The record is from RNAcentral.
AGGUGGGCAGUUUGACUGGGGCGGUCGCCUCCUAAAGAGUAACGGAGGCGCCCAAAGGUAUCCUCAGCAUGGUUGGAAAUCAUGCAAAGAGUGUAAAGGCAUAAGGAUGCUUGACUGCGAGACCUACAAGUCGAGCAGGGACGAAAGUCGGGCUUAGUGAUCCGGUGUUUCCGAAUGGAAGGGCCAUCGCUCAACGGAUAAAAGCUACCCUGGGGAUAACAGGCUUAUCUCCCCCAAGAGUCCACAUCGACGGGGAGGUUUGGCACCUCGAUGUCGGCUCGUCGCAUCCUGGGGCUGUAUUAGGUCCCAAGGGUUGGGCUGUUCGCCCAUUAAAGCGGUACGCGAGCUGGGUUCAGAACGUCGCGAGACAGUUCGGUCCCUAUCCGUGGCGGGCGCAGGGAUUUUGAGGGGGGCUGACCCUAGUACGAGAGGACCGGGUUGGACGGACCGCUGGUGUACCAGUUGUGCCGCCAGGCGCAGACGCUGGGUAGCUACGUCCGGGAGCGAUAAACGCUGAAAGCAUAUAAGCGUGAAGCGCGCCCCAAGAUGAGAACCUCCACUGCUUUAGCAGGUAAGGUCCCCGGUAGACGACCGGGUAGAUAGGCGGGAGGUGGAAGCGUGGCGACAUGUGGAGCUGACCCGUACUAAGUGACCGAGGGCUUUAGCAA